AUUGACGGGGGCCCGCACAAGCGGUGGAGCAUGUGGUUUAAUUCGAUGCAACGCGAAGAACCUUACCUGGUCUUGACAUCCACAGAACUUUCCAGAGAUGGAUUGGUGCCUUCGGGAACUGUGAGACAGGUGCUGCAUGGCUGUCGUCAGCUCGUGUUGUGAAAUGUUGGGUUAAGUCCCGCAACGAGCGCAACCCUUAUCCUUUGUUGCCAGCGGUUAGGCCGGGAACUCAAAGGAGACUGCCAGUGAUAAACUGGAGGAAGGUGGGGAUGACGUCAAGUCAUCAUGGCCCUUACGACCAGGGCUACACACGUGCUACAAUGGCGCAUACAAAGAGAAGCGACCUCGCGAGAGCAAGCGGACCUCAUAAAGUGCGUCGUAGUCCGGAUUGGAGUCUGCAACUCGACUCCAUGAAGUCGGAAUCGGCUGAUAAUCGUAGAUCAGAUGCUA
RNAcentral lists this ribosomal RNA (450 nucleotides) under Enterobacter cloacae subsp. cloacae. RNAcentral's name for it is "bacterial SSU rRNA". It matches the Rfam family "Bacterial small subunit ribosomal RNA", at positions 909 to 1359 of the family's 1533-position model. Lineage: Bacteria; Pseudomonadati; Pseudomonadota; Gammaproteobacteria; Enterobacterales; Enterobacteriaceae. The record is from RNAcentral.